RNAcentral lists this ribosomal RNA (90 nucleotides) under Cladosporium cladosporioides. Its description in RNAcentral is "partial 28S ribosomal RNA". It matches the Rfam family "Eukaryotic large subunit ribosomal RNA", at positions 1 to 88 of the family's 3401-position model. The record is from RNAcentral. Lineage: Eukaryota; Fungi; Ascomycota; Dothideomycetes; Cladosporiales; Cladosporiaceae.
GUUGACCUCGGAUCAGGUAGGGAUACCCGCUGAACUUAAGCAUAUCAAUAAGCGGAGGAAAAGAAACCAACAGGGAUUGCUCUAGUAACG